GCUAGUAAUGGCAGGUCAGCAUACUGCCGUGAAUACGUUCCCGGGCCUUGUACACACCGCCCGUCACACCAUGAGAGUUGGGGAUACCCAAAGCCCGUGAGCCAACUGUAAAGAGGCAGCGGUCUAAGGUAGAAUCAAUGAUUGGGGUGAAGUCGUAACAAGGUACC
RNAcentral lists this ribosomal RNA (167 nucleotides) under uncultured bacterium. Its description in RNAcentral is "partial 16S ribosomal RNA". It matches the Rfam family "Bacterial small subunit ribosomal RNA", at positions 1334 to 1500 of the family's 1533-position model. The record is from RNAcentral.